UUGAUCCUGGCUCAGAAUCAACGCUGGCGGCGUGCCUAACACAUGCAAGUCGAACGCGAAAGUGGAGCAAUCCAUGAGUAGAGUGGCAAACGGGUGAGUUACGCGUGGGCGACCCACCUCAGAGUGGGGGAUAACCUUCCGAAAGGAGGUCUAAUACCGCAUGACAUUCCGUCUUUAGAUAGACGGGUAUCAAAGCCGGUGAUCGCAAGACCUGGCGCUUGGAGAGGGGCCCGCGUCCGAUUAGCUAGUUGGUGAGGUAACGGCUCACCAAGGCUCCGAUCGGUAUCCGGCCUGAGAGGUCGGACGGACACACUGGGGCUGAGACACGGCCCAGACUCCUACGGGAGGCUGCAGUGGGGAAUUGUUCGCAAUGGGCGCAAGCCUGACGACGCAACGCCGUGUGGAGGAUGAAGACCUUCGGGUCGUAAACUCCUUUCGACCGAGAUGAAUACCCAUCGACCUAACACGUCGAUGGGCCGACAGUAUCGAGGGAAGAAGCUCCGGCUAACUCCGUGCCAGCAGCCGCGGUAAUAAGGU
This 537-nucleotide ribosomal RNA is filed under the name uncultured Acidobacteriota bacterium. Its description in RNAcentral is "bacterial SSU rRNA". It matches the Rfam family "Bacterial small subunit ribosomal RNA", at positions 13 to 529 of the family's 1533-position model. The record is from RNAcentral. Lineage: Bacteria; Pseudomonadati; Acidobacteriota.